GAUGAUGAGAAUGCAAGAAAACACAGAGAAGAGAUCCUCUCUUAUUCAAUCAGCAAUAAGAUAAGAGAUGGUUUAGGCAUGGUUGUUGUUCUCCUCCACUGGAGGGUGCUUCUUGUAUGGUGGCUUUUUGUAUGGUGGCUUGUAAUAUGGUGGUUUAUGCUUGUAAACUGGUGGCUUGUAAAUAGGAUGCUUAUAGACUGGAGGCUUGUAAAUAGGAUGCUUCUUAAUGGGUUUGUAAUAAGUGGCCAAACCUUGAGGAAUGAGGAUAAGAGCAGCAAGAAGUAACACCAGAAAGGAUAAAAAGGAAGCCAUGAUUAGGGUUGGAGUGCAUAAC
Molecule: long non-coding RNA, 334 nt
Filed under: Phaseolus vulgaris (common bean)
Lineage: Eukaryota; Viridiplantae; Streptophyta; Magnoliopsida; Fabales; Fabaceae
Description: long non-coding RNA (PVUL_LNC002839)
Source: RNAcentral